UCUUGGUCGCUUUGCCAAGAUAUAUCCUAAAUUGGAACAAUACAGAGAAAUUUAGCAUGGCCUUUGUGCAAGGAUGACAGGUAAAUUAAAAAAAACCAAAAAACUGUC
Molecule: small nuclear RNA, 108 nt
Filed under: Carlito syrichta (Philippine tarsier)
Lineage: Eukaryota; Metazoa; Chordata; Mammalia; Primates; Tarsiidae
Source: RNAcentral